CCUACGGGUGACAGCAGUGGGGAAUAUUGGGCAAUGGAGGCAACUCUUACCCAGCAAUGCCGCGUGAAUGAAGAAGGUCUUCGGAUUGUAAACCACUGUCCCCAGGGACGAAGAUGACGGUACCUGGGGAGGAAGCUCCGGCUAACUACGUGCCAGCAGCCGCGGUAAUACGUAGGGAGCAAGCGUUGUCCGGAAUUACUGGGUGUAAAGGGAGCGUAGGCGGGAUGGCAAGUUGGGUGUUAAAUCUACCGGCUCAACUGGUAGUCGCACUCAAAACUGCUAUUCUUGAGUGAAGUAGAGGCAGGCGGAAUUCCUAGUGUAGCGGUGAAAUGCGUAGAUAUUAGGAGGAACACCAGUGGCGAAGGCGGCCUGCUGGGCUUUUACUGACGCUGAGGCUCGAAAGUGUGGGGAGCAAACAGGAUUAGAUACCCGAGUAGUC
This 439-nucleotide ribosomal RNA is filed under the name uncultured bacterium. RNAcentral's name for it is "partial 16S ribosomal RNA". It matches the Rfam family "Bacterial small subunit ribosomal RNA", at positions 338 to 795 of the family's 1533-position model. The record is from RNAcentral.